Pipra filicauda (Wire-tailed manakin) is the source of this 422-nucleotide long non-coding RNA. RefSeq lists it as uncharacterized. The transcript is spliced from 4 exons. The record is from RefSeq and is a predicted model, not a curated record. NCBI's taxonomy places the organism in Eukaryota, Metazoa, Chordata, Aves, Passeriformes, Pipridae.
AGUAGCCAAAAUGUCUUCCAGUUGCUUCCUGGGAAGGUGGUGCUGGGGUUGUGUAGCCUCUCUGCUUUCUCUGGUCUCCAACUGCACCCCCGAUGAAGUGGGGACCAAAAGCGGGGGUGGAUUUUACAGAAGCUUGGUUCAGUUCCUAAAAGAGAACUCGGGUCAGGUUGCUGGGUCACUCUCUUGAGGACAGGCCAGCUGCAUGAGCUCGGGAGUCUUUAACAACAAAAUUCUGAAGAAAGGUCUAAGGAGUGUUGGUCCAAACACAAUUCCUAAGCUUUGUGUUGACAUAAGAUUCACGGAUUCCUUGGCUGCUAUCCUGUUGACGAAAGGAAAGAAUUGGUUAAAAAAAAAGGAUGUCAGAGGAGUCACUGUUGCUCUUGAAAACAACUAGCUUAUUGUAAAGACCAACCUGUCAGAGG